CUUUCCCUUCAUAGUACGUAGUAGUCAAAGACUUAUCAAUCGAUCGAGAUUGAGUCGCACUCGCCAGAGAUCGUGUAGAGCUCCGUCUCCGAUUCCGUCCACCAACAUGGAGCUAGCGGCGGCGGCGCAUCCAUCGCAGUCGAGCAUUUUCUUAAUGGCGUCUUCCGUCGCCGAGAAGCCUCAAGCUUCUGAUGAACCCGCGCCUCCCUUCCGUUCAUGGCGACUACUUGGUUUUACCUGAUCUAUGAAAUUGACUUGUGCUAGGGUUUCAUGAGAGUAAGCCGUGCAUGUUCAUCUUCUAAAAGAACGACCUUUCUUUCAAGAAUGGGUCUCCUCAGUAGCUGUUUCCUGCUUCUCCUUUUGGCGGCCUCCUUCGGCGCUUCAAUUGCCUGUUCCAAUGGAGAAUGCCAGUUACUUGAUGGUUGCUCUUCGGACAGUGAUUGCCAGGCAGGUUUGUAUUGUUUCUCCUGCGGUCUCUUUAAUUCAGUGUGCGUGCGACAAACUGCAUCGGAUCAAUUCAAGAUUGUGAAUACCUCCUUGCCCUUUAAUAAAUAUGCAUUUCUCACAACCCACAAUUCUUUUGCCAUUACUGGAGAACCUUCUCGAACAGGAAUCCCACGAAUUACCUUUGCAAAUCAAGAGGACAACGUCACUCAACAAUUAAACAAUGGUGUUAGAGCUUUAAUGUUAGACACAUAUGACUUUGAAGGUGACAUAUGGUUGUGCCAUUCAAAUGGUGGAGAAUGCAAUGCUUUUACCGCUUUUGAACCAGCUAUAGAUACUAUGAAGGAAAUUGAGACAUUCUUGUCUUUGAAUCCAUCAGAAAUUGUCACAUUGAUCUUAGAAGACUAUGUUAAGACUCCAAAUGGAUUAACAAAACUUUUCAAUGAUUCGGGUUUGCUGAAAUACUGGUUCCCAGUUUCCAACAUGCCCACAAAUGGUCAAGACUGGCCUUUUGUAAGUGACAUGGUUGCAAAAAACCAGCGUUUGAUUGUCUUUACGUCUAGAAAAUUCAAGCAACAUACAGAAGGGAUAGCCUAUCAGUGGAACUACAUGGUUGAAAACCAGUAUGGAGAUGGUGGCAUUAAAGCUGGGACAUGCUUCAACCGUGCUGAAUCUGCUCCUCUAAAUGACACAAACAAAUCUCUUGUUCUAGUUAAUUAUUUCCCCUCAACACCAAUUCGGCAAAUUGCAUGUGAGCACAACUCCGAGCCACUCUUUGAUAUGCUAAUUACAUGCCAUGGUGUAGCAAGCAACCGAUGGGCAAACUUUGUGGCGGUUGAUUUUUACAAGAGAAGCGAUGGAGGAGGAGUGUUUGAGGCAACAGAUAUGCUUAAUGGAAAAUUGCUAUGUGGACGUUCUGAUGUUCAUUUAUGUACUGCCGGCUCUCCUUCAUGAACUGGUCCGUUGCUGCCAGCAAUGUCGACGCUUUUUUGUGUAGCAAAGAACUGCAGAACAUCACUACUGGUCAUCGAUAUGAAGGAGCCCAUCGAGUUACAUGAGGACAAAAUCCCAUAAAUACAAAUCGGUGCUCUUGUAUAACGGGACAAUUUAGAUGGAGAGAGCAAGUCAAUUUAUGUCUGAAGAUGUUGCCUUUAAGCAAUAAUUCAAGUAAACCUUGAAACUUGAGGUUUGAGUAGUAUCAUUAAUCCCGGGAUCUCGCAUCGACAGGAGUUUUGUAUGAUGUUAAGUAGUAUCAUUAAUUCCGGGAUCUCGCAUCGACAGGAGUUUUGUAUGAGGUUUAAGUAGUAUCAUUAAUCUUGGGAUCUCGCAUCGACAGGAA
RNA transcript from Zingiber officinale, 1783 nucleotides. It is a transcript of the gene named PI-PLC X domain-containing protein At5g67130-like, with no coding region annotated. NCBI's taxonomy places the organism in Eukaryota, Viridiplantae, Streptophyta, Magnoliopsida, Zingiberales, Zingiberaceae. The record is from RefSeq and is a predicted model, not a curated record. The transcript is spliced from 10 exons.